Molecule: long non-coding RNA, 549 nt
Filed under: Chinchilla lanigera (long-tailed chinchilla)
Lineage: Eukaryota; Metazoa; Chordata; Mammalia; Rodentia; Chinchillidae
Description: lncRNA (ENSCLAG00000026316.1)
Source: RNAcentral
GGCAACUUCUGUCUCUAUGGUGAGCUCAUACUUAGAACCAGAACCUUAGAAAGGCAAGAAAGAGGAUUGGCUGUGGAUGAAUAUUUAAAUGAAGGGGUGAGGGAGGCAUGGAGAGAAUCAAUAGAUGGGGAAAAGACUAUAAUAAAUGUCUGGCUUUCCAGUGGCUCCCCUCCCCCAGUGACUAUUACUUUAUAAGUUAGGUAAUUCUUGUUUCAGAUCUAUUCCACUUGUUCCUGUUAGAGCUAAAUAUAAUUUCCUGCACCAUCUGACUCCUUCAUCACUACCCUAUGACCAUGACAUCAUCUGAAAGGGUCAAUUUGAUGUUGGAAGAGAGUGGCUGGACCUGGUCUGUGGGGACUUCCCGAAGUUGGGCUCUGCCUUUGACCUGGGACUCCAGCAAAGGUAAGGCUUUGCUCUUAUGUCUCUUUUAAUAUUAAUGUAGCUGCUCUUCCUUUUUAAAAAUUAAUGAUUACACAAUAUAUCUCUUUUCUAUCCUUUUCCUUUCAAUUUAUCUAUGUUGUUAUGUUUGGUUUGUGCUUUUCUAGAUAA